CACAUGCUGAGUGAGCCUACAGGAUUCCCUGGAGUGGCCCUGGACAUCUUUGAGAUCUGGCUCUGAUUGCUUCUGUAUGGAAAAUGUAACACAUUGCAAUGAACUUCAAGAGGUCCUGCAUUAGAAAACUUCUGGGAAUAUGGUGGGGGAUGCUGAAUAUCUUAGAAACAGGGUUUCCGAGACUUGCUAUCCAGACAGUGAAAUAUAGCAAUGUGAAGAAGAGAAGAAGGAGCAAGUGGGUCCCCAGGACCCAGCAAGGAUCUGAAGUGGUAACUGAAGUCCACAGGGAGAGUGAAGAGGGAAACCUCAAAGCAGCAAAGGAGAUGGCAAGUGGCAGUUUUACCUGAGCCCUGACUCAUUGUGUGGAAGGAGCAGCUCAAACCUGCAGACCCAUGGUGACUACUGCUGACCUCAGAGGCCUCCAUGGAGAAACACACCAGUGGAACUGAGCAGUGGACACAGAGGACUGCAGUGACUGAGUGCUGGUGGUGACUGAACCCAGUGCUUUGCAUGUGCUACAUAAGGACUCUACCACUGUACUUUAUAAAACAAACUAGAUAAGUCCAUUUAUUUCUUUUUUAUUUCUAGGCUUCCAGUCAUACAUCUCUCCUCCCUUCCCCUGAAUCUAAAUUGUAUGUGUAAUCUUCAAGAGUUUUUAUUUCAUCUGGAAUCAAUUUUUUAUAGUAAAUGAUGUAAUGUAUGAAUGUAAUUUUAUUUUCAUCCAGAUAAAUAGCUAGAGUUUCCAUUUUAAUUAUUUCUUAUUUAUUUGCUUAUUUAUGGACAGCUCUAACUAUGUAGUUUAAUCUGGGCUCAAACUCAAGACCCUCCUGCUUUUCCCUCUUCUG
Chinchilla lanigera (long-tailed chinchilla) is the source of this 845-nucleotide long non-coding RNA. RefSeq lists it as uncharacterized. NCBI's taxonomy places the organism in Eukaryota, Metazoa, Chordata, Mammalia, Rodentia, Chinchillidae. The record is from RefSeq and is a predicted model, not a curated record. The transcript has 4 exons.